GACGAACGCUGGCGGCGUGCUUAACACAUGCAAGUCGAACGGAACGGCCCUGCUUUUGUGGGGUGCUCGAGUGGCGAACGGGUGAGUAACACGUGAGUAACCUGCCCUUGACUUUGGGAUAACUUCAGGAAACUGGGGCUAAUACCGGAUAGGAGCUCCUGCUGCUUGGUGGGGGUUGGAAAGUUUCGGCGGUUGGGGAUGGACUCGCGGCUUAUCAGCUUGUUGGUGGGGUAGUGGCUUACCAAGGCUUUGACGGGUAGCAGGCCUGAGAGGGGGACCGGCCACGUUACGACUGAGAUGAGGCACGGACUCGAACGGGAGGCAGGGGAGGAGAGGAUUAUACAAGGGGCGGGGCCCUGAUGUAGCAAAGCAGCGUGGGGGAAGAGAGGCAGCGGGUAGGGUAGCACAGUCGUCUGAGACGAAGCGAGAAUGACGGUAACGGGUGAAGAAGCACCGGCUAACUACGUG
RNAcentral lists this ribosomal RNA (468 nucleotides) under uncultured bacterium. RNAcentral's name for it is "partial 16S ribosomal RNA". It matches the Rfam family "Bacterial small subunit ribosomal RNA", at positions 28 to 507 of the family's 1533-position model. The record is from RNAcentral.